This 9006-nucleotide unclassified non-coding RNA is filed under the name Cimex lectularius (bed bug). Its description in RNAcentral is "uncharacterized LOC106661257, transcript variant X31". Lineage: Eukaryota; Metazoa; Arthropoda; Insecta; Hemiptera; Cimicidae. The record is from RNAcentral.
UAUACUGUUGCGUUUUUAAUUAAUUUAUUAUUUGCUUAAAGCGAUGAUAAUUGACAAGUGGAUUCGUGCGGUCUCUCGGUCGACGUCAAAUUAUUUACCAAUAGCAAAUUUCUUGACAUUUCGGCUAUAUACCUCGUUUAUCGUGAUUUCUCUAUUCUUACUGCAUUUAUUUUUUUUCUUUUCUCUUUUCAUUAAAACAUAUGCUUGUCCAACCAGCUGUUUGAAUUUUUGGCUUUCCGGUUCCGUGCAGUUUUUGUUAUAAAAUUCCAAAAUUCAAGCCUGGGAUGUUCAAGUUCAAGUACCCAAGGAAGGACUAUGAGUCCUCCAAGAAUGUCCCAUAAACAUUUAUAAGAAAAAGGAAUCAAGUUUUUUUCACUAUCUUCGCCGAUGCCAGGGAUGUUUCACAAAUAAUAAAAGGUUUUAAUUUUGGAGAAUGAUGGAUAGUGAAAGCAUGGCAGCUCCUUCAAGGGGUGCUAACAAUGAAGAAAGAAUUGAGGACCAUAGUGGAUCACAAAUUCAGCCGACUGCCCUCGAUGAUAUGAAAGCCAUGGAAGCGAAACAAUCAGAUACCUUUUCAGGUAAUGUCGACCAACAUUCAGAUGACAUACUUCAUCCAAAUCAGCAGACAUUAAAAAGUCAUAGUUCUACUCAUGACAUAUCUAGCCUUAAUAAAGAACCAGCUAGUAAUAUCGUGUCACAAGGUGCUAUACCUGAAAAUGAAAAUCAAUUUGCGGAAAGGAAAUGUAAAAUGCAAGUAAAUGCAAUAAUACCUGAAACUGCUGGUACAUCUAACAAGCUUAUUUCAUUUCCGGAGAAUGAACAAUUAAAAAGGCAAGCUUCUAACCAUGAUUGCAAACAGUCUGAUAAUGCGCCAAAUGCUCCACUUAAAUUUGAAAAUGAACUUAAGCCUGCUCAAUGGAAAUGUAAAAUUCAAGAAAAUGCUAUAAUACCAAAACCUAUUGGUACAUCUAAAAAGCUUAUUUCAUUUCCGGAGAACGAACAAUCAAAAAGGCAAGCUAACUAUAAAUGUACACUGUCUGAUAAUGUGUCAAAAGCUCCCCUGACAUUUGAAAAUGAAAAUAAGCUUGCUCAAAGGGAAAAUACAUUGCCCAAAUGUGGAAAUUGUCAGUUGCAAAAAGAACCUGUUCAACCUAUCAAGGGAUUUAGUCAUCUUCCUGGGAUUAAACAAGACCAACGUAAUUGGUAUUGCAGAAACCCUCAAGAAUCCACAUUUUUAAUCGAUUUUUUUAAACAGUGCUAUUACAAUAACAUUGCUUUGAGUAAUUGGGAACAAUCCAAAUCUCCUACACCAGAAAAUAACUUUGCCCGAAGGAAGUCCCAGCAAAAUGUUUCUGAUGAAGGUUCUAUACAGGAUUCUCUACAGAGUAAUAUUCAACCACCACAAAUUGCUACAGUUGAAAAAGAAAAAUCUGCUCGAAGAUUAAAUAAAUUAGUGGAAGGUGUAAGCUUGCAUAAACCUAUUGUUUUUUCCAAGGAGUCCAACUUACAUUUUUUAAAUGAUCCAGUUGAUAGGGAAAAGGAUGUAAAAAAAACUUCUAUACUGCCGAAUAUUCAGACAUCAGUAGCCAAUUCAGUAGAAAAAGAAAAAUCUGCUGAUAGGAAAAAUAAAUUAGCAGAAAAUGAGAGCUUAGGUGAACCCAACGCUUCUUCUGAGAAACCUGGCGACUGUAAUCUCAUGGAAUGGGAAAAUGUAGCUAAAAAUAUUUCUAUACAACAGGAUUCUGUUCAGCCUAAUAUUCAAACAGCACAAGCCACUAUAAUUGAAAAGGAAAAUAAGUCGGCUCAAAGAAAAAAUAUAUUAGUGGAAAAUGAAAGCCGCCUACUUGAGCCCAUUGCUUCUGCUAAAGAAUCUGGCAGCUUAUAUUCCCUGAAAAACCCAACUGAAAGGGAAAAUAUCAACAAAAUUUCUAUACGGGAUGCUGUGCAGCCUACUACUCAAGUAACACAGUCCAUUACAACUGACAAAGUAUACUUGACUGCUCUAAGAAAAAAUAAAUCAGCGGAAAGAUUAAUUGACCCGACUGUUACUGUUAAGGAAUCUGACUCACAGUGUUUGAAUAAUCCAGUAGAAAGGCAAAAUUUUAUCAACAAAAUUUCUAUGCAAGAUGCUGAACAACCUCAUGUUCAAAUAUCUCAACUUACUACAACUGACGAAGUGCACAUAGCUGCUCAAAGUUGCAGCGAAAAUGUUACCAAAAAACCAUCUGUACAGGAAUUUGUGCAGCCAAAUAUUCCAACAUUACAAGACCUUCCAAUUGCAAAAGAAAAUAAAUCUGUUCAAAGGGAAAACAAAUUAGCAGAAACCGAUAACCCACCUGAACCUACUGAUUAUUUUAAAGAAUCUAGCACACAUUGUCUGAAUAACUCAGUCGAAAGGGAAAAUGUAACCGAAGAACGGUUCGCACUGGAAUUUGUGCAAGCAAAUAUUCAAACAUCACAAGACCCUCCAAUCGAAAAAGAAAAUAAACCUGUUCAAAGAAAAAUUAAAUUAGCAGAAACUGAUAGCCCACCUGAACCUACUGAUUAUUUUAAGGAAUCUAGCACACAUUGUCUGAAUAACUCAGUAGAAAGGGAAAAUGUUACCGAACAACGGUUCGUACAGGAAUUUGUGCAGCCAAAUAUUCAAACAUCACAAGACCCUCCAGUCAAAAAAGAAAAUAAACCUGUUCAAAGAAAAAGUAAAUUAGCAGAAUGUGAAAGCUCACCUGAACCUAUUGAUUUUUAUAAAGAAUCAGGCUCACAUUCUCUGAAUAACUUAGUAGAAAGGGAAAAUGUUAACGAAAAACAGGAAUCUGUACAGCCAAAUAUUCAUACAUCAAAAGGCACUCUGAUUGAAAAAGAAAACAAAUCUGCUCAAAGGAAAGAUGUCACCAUCAAAAAUUCGGUAAAGGAAGCUGUGAAGCCUACGACAACACAAUCCAUUACAACUGACAAAGUUCAUAAAUCUGCUACAAGCCAAAAAGUUGUAAAGCAUGGUUCUGAACAACCUAAUAGUGAAGCGUCAGCACCUAACAAUGAAAAUCAAUUAAAUAAAAGCAGUCUUGUGAAAAGCGCAGAGGAUGACACAUUUUGGGAGAAUAACUUAUUAGCAGGUCUCACUGAGAAAUAUUUAUUUCAAACAAUUAGAGGCGCAAUACCUCAUUUAACUGGUUGGAGUCAAAAUCUUACUCAGCACAUAAGAAAGAAGUUUGAGUACGGGGAAGAAAAAACACAGCCAAAUCUACAAAUUGAAAACUCUACUGCAAUUAAGGAUGUGGUCGACGAUUCUGGGCAACCUGAAGUCAGACCAAAUGACUCGAAGACUGAAAUCAAUAAAGAAGAUGGUUUUAUAAAACAUGACCAAACAUCAGAUAAACAGGGGAAAACAGCAGAAAAAAGUGACAGAACAACACCUUUCCCCAAACAUAGAUUUCAAGUUAUUCCCACUCCAGAAAGUGCAGUCCUGAAAGGUUCAAAGCCAUCAAACAAAGAAAGUACCACUGCCCAAUAUGGUGUGCAAAAUAAUACAUGUAGCCAGUCAUUGCAAGGAGAUAAAAAAUCUAAAAUAUCUACGAAAAAAGUGGAUAAAACUGAAAAAUCUGAUUUUAAGAGAACUGUGCUGAAUUCAAGUUGUGAAAAGAAACAAAUAGUUACCAAAGACAAUAGGAGUACAUCUAAGAGUCCGAGAUCAUACAGAGAACCUGGAACAUCGAAAAGUUUCAAACCCACUUGUUCAUCACAUAACGAACAAAAGCAGCCUAAUAUCAUGGGGACUGUUUCAUCAAAAUCGCCCAUACGUGCAAUGUAUGCUGAACGACCAAAGCAUGUAGAAGCAACCAUGCUGAAAACUGUUUCAAAACCAAGAACUCCAAGUAUUAAGAAAGAAAAUUCAACUCAGUUUACAGCAUUUUCUUAUAUGGAGCACGAAAUAGAGAAGGAAAAGCCCCAUGAAAUUGUUACAUUUUCUCUUCCAAAAUCUGAAAUCGUAUUGGACGAUUCUAAUAGCAUUAAUUCUUCAAUUUGUAAAUUCAAUGCUGAAAAGGAAAAAUCGAAAUUUUCAAAAAGACUACUCACAGUAUAUUAUGAUGACGAUAAAAAAUUGCAGUUUGAAAGGAGUGAGAAACUACUGCCUCCAGAUAAUUUAAACAAGUUAGUCUCACUAUAUUAUGACAGUGAAACUGAACUUGAAAAGACGCAUGAUUAUGGAAAGGAAAGCUCACCCGACUCAAGGAACACGUCUCACAAUUCAAAAAAAAGUUUGAUUAUUAUUCACCACAACGGAGAAGAACAUCAUAGGCUAAGACAAUACAGCUUACCUGGGGAAUUGGACAUUAAUAGUUCUGAAAGGUGCUCAACAUCAUUUCGGCAAUCAAAAGGACGUGACAGUUCAUUGGAGAAAUCUCCAGUUCCUGAAACAAUUUUAUCCAAAAAUGAUAAAAUGAAUACUAAAGAAUCAGUUAAUAGCGAACCUUGGGAAUAUGGAACUAGAAUUGUUACAGUUUACUACGACCCUGAACAAGAAGAAGAUGGAAAGAAAAAUGAUUUAUGUGUUGCUAAGACCAAGAAGAAGCUACUGUCUGUAUUCUAUGCUAGAAUUCCUGAAUCUUCUGAAUCAUCAAGCAAAUCAGUGGAUUCUACAAAAGAUUCUCUAACCCAGUUGUUUAUUGUAUAUCAUGCUCAAAUUGGUCCUGGUGACGAUCCUCCAAAAGACGAUUCAUAUCGUAAAAAGCAUUCAAGUUCCCGCACACGUGACUCUGUGGGUACUCUUCCAAAGACAUCUUUAGAUGAAUCAAAAUAUUCAGGUUCAUAUUCAUCUGAGAUAAAUGAAGCAAUUGACCAAUAUAACCAAAAACAGCAAGAGUCUGCAAUGAAGCAAGCAAAAAUUGAGGCGUCAAAAGCUCCAGGUGUACCAGUAGCAAGAGCGGAAGCUCAUGCUUUGGGUGAAUUAUUUGAAAAAGAACUGAAAAACACUGAAGGGCGUGGAAUUCUACGACACGGUAAAUCAGAGGACUUGUCAGACGUUCUAUCUACAACUUCAAGAGAAGGUAUUGGUCAAAGUAAAGCAGUACCUGCCCGAAAACUAAGCACGGAGGAGCCUAAUCUUAUACUAGCAACCUCAGAAGAAUGGUUAUCAGUUCCAAUUUCACCUACUCCUACAAGAGCAGAUUUGAUCAACAAAAUUGCUGAACAACCUGUUCAAAAACAAACCAUAGAUGCGACUGAUAUCAUACCAGCUAAGUUAGAGGAAGGGUUAAAUGAGCCAAUACCUGAGCCAAUGAGUGAUUCCAGUCAAAUUUCUGCAACACAAUCCAGAUGGUCCAUUAAUGAAACUGAAAAUCUGCCACAGCCUGCUGUUAAUGAAAAACCUGAGGUUGCACCUAAUAAUACGGAUAAUCGUGUACCGUUGGUCACUCUUUAUUUAAAUAGGAAAUCCAAAGAAACUGGAGUGCCUGAUCCGAAAUUUGUAUCUUUAUAUUUUGAUGGAAGAAAUGAAACUGAAAAAAAAUUGGUAGUGAUUCAACACGCUUUAAUGGGUGUGGGAGAAGACAGAUCACAUGUUUUUGCUUUGCCGUCUGAACUCGCCCAAUUUUCUAAGGGUCCAAGCGCUAAAGAAAAUAUUGUAGUCAUAAUGGAAAACAAUAAUCAAAGUAAACCUUGGUUAAGUGGGAAAAAAAUUGUAACUCUGUAUUAUGAUCAUAAUUUAAGUGGAAAAGAAAACUCAAAAGAGCCCAAGAAAAAAUUACUUUCUGUCUAUUGUGCAAGACUUGAGGGAUCAAAUUCACCUAUGAAGUUGAUUAUCGUCUAUCAUUCAGUUAUUAGAUCGUCUAUGGAUUCAGAUUCUUUUAACAAAUUAACUGUAACUCAAAAUACUAUUGAUAAUACAAACAGUCUACAGAUUGUUGAUUCCAAAUUAGACAACAUAAGGAUGUCCCAAUCAGCCACUUUAAUUAACUCUGAUAAACCAUUGCUUAAUGAAACGGAAAAAAUGGUUUAUAAACUAUUUAAUGGGGAAGAACGAACAUGUGGUAGGAAGGAACAAGAAAUGGGUGUUUCUAGUGUCAUGCAACAUUUUCCGAAAAAAGAAGAAGGGAAAAAACAACGCUCACCGAUCAAUAAGAAAAUUCAUUUAAAGGAAAAUGAACAAUAUUUACCUGUAAAUAGCUCAAAAUGCUUGCUGGUUAAAGAAAAAAGAACAACUUGCUCCCCUGUGUAUAAAAUAAAAAAAUUACUAGGAAAAAGAGAAGCAAUAAAGCAAAGUUUAUCUGCUGUCAAGGUCAUGAAUGUUCGAAAAACAGAGGAAUCAAAAAGACAACAUUCACCGCCUCCUGUUAGAAGGUACAUGAAUAGAGCGCGAAGUAACGAGAGUUUUACUUUAUUGAAUGUUUCGUCUGUAGACGUACCUAGUGCAGUGCCCAGUUUACACAAUGUUAGCAGUGGGUUUGUUAACAGUAUGUAUAAAGUCUGCAAGGCUUUAGAUGGCGACGUGAUGAAAGAAAAGAAAAUUAGUAAACAACUUCCACCGGCUACUCUCCAUCCAUCGUUGCAGUGUGACAAUAGCAGUGGAACAAUUUUACCUAGUUCAUCAUCAAGUCUUGAGUCCUUGUACCCAUCUCUACAUAAUGUAAAUUUGAGGACGAGAAAUUGCAAGGAUCUUGAUGUGGGACGUUGGUAUUUGGUAAAUUGUGACAAUGAAGCAAACUUGGGAGAAAAAGACUCAGUUAGUGAAAUAAUAAGAGCCGGGAAGUCCUCUGUGGACAGCACUUAUAAUGAAAAUUGGGAAGAAAAAACUAGAAAACUAAGACAGGGAAAAAGGCCAGCUAAAAAAAAAUCAAUACUUAACAAAUCAAAAUUUUGCUUUAAUCCUUCUAGUAAAAAGAAAGAAUGCACAUCGAAACUUCGAUCUCCUGGCAAGGAUCCAUGUAAUGCAUUUGCAUCAUCAUAUUAUAGCCCAAGUGAUGCAAAUCCUUGCUGUUCAGAAUGGGGCAUGGGUGGAAAAAACCCCAGGAACACAUCAAGAAAAAGACGUGAAAAAACCAUUACAAGCUCUGAUUUGACAUUGGAGGAAUGUUACAUGCUAAUAAAUGGGAUCAGAGAUGGGACAAUUACAGUUAAAAGUACAAACGAUCAAUGUGUUGAGGGAUGUCUGAAAAAAUGUUGCGACGUGCCAAAGGGAAUGAAACGAUCUACUGUCAAGAGACAGUUGAACACCCCAUUUAAGAAACCACCUCCUCGUUCGCCUCCCACAGGGAUUGACGAUAAUGAUGUGUGUUUGCCAGCCUGUUUGGACACAACCGCUGGUUUAACAGACAAAGAGAAAUUAUGUGGUGGAAAAGGAAAAAUCCCAAAAGCAUUCAGAUACAACUAUGAAGACGAGGAGUAUUGCGAAGAUCAGAAUAAAAACAAAGGUUAUUAUAGUGGCUAUGAAGACAGUAACAGGAAUAUGCAAGAUUAUAAUUGUGGAAAUGACUUUAUGAUGGGCCCUUCACAAUAUUGUGAUGACAAAUAUGACAAAACUGCAUCGGACAUUUGCAGGAAAUAUGAAAACUGCCCACCAACUCGUAUCGCUGCAUUUGAUGUAAACCAAUCGAACACAUCUCUUAUGAGAUCUAAGUAUCGGCCUGCGAAUGCUGGUCCCUGUCGUGAGCCAUCAAGACCUACCUAUAAGACUAGUUACAAUAAGCCGUACAGUUCUUAUCUCCCGAACACGUAUUCAAAUUAUUGCAGUGACAUCCCGGAUGAUAGGCAAUGUAAAGAAAACACCCCAAGAAGGACAGUAGAUGCGUCCUGUCAACAGAAACUGGAGAGACAGGUAAAAGACAGCUAUUGUCAGACAGCACAAAAUCGUUCGUAUCCGCCUGUUAGCCAAAACCGACCUUGUUUUUGUCCAACUUCCUGUUGUGGGUAUCAUGCACCAUUCUUUCAGCCUGAUUCACAACAGAACAAGAACGAAUUCUCUUAUCCAGCACAAACAACAUCAGCAAAAGUUCAGCACAUUGGCUUAAGUCCUCAUUUAGGCACAGCCCAAAGUAAACUGUCACCAAAUAAAACCAAGAAAUUGUCACCAAGUAGAACUGUUCAGUUUGAUUCAACUAAGAAAAAUCUAGGCACAUCAAAAUAUACAUCAACGAGCGAACUGUUUAAACAACAAUCAGAAGAGAAGACAAAAAGUAAAGCUGCGAAUAAGAAAACGUCUUUGAAGAAAUCCAAAAAACCUGACCAAAAUGCAAAAGCUAACAAUUCUCCAAAAGCAGAAGCACAGCCCACCACCCAGCAAAACAAAAAAACACGAAAUAAAACGCCUACUACUGUAAAGCAAGAUGUACCCAAUCCUACAACAAAAACAUCCCUUUUAAAGAAAGACGCAUCUAACACCAAGACUGUAACAAAAGCACCCUCUUCUGUAAAGAAAGACGCACCUAGCACUAAGGCUGUAUCCAAAACACCUACUUUAAAGGCAAAAGAGCCACCUAGCACUAAAGCUGUAACAAAAGAACCCACUUUAAAAACAAAAGAGCCACUUUCUGGCUCACCAAGCAAAACAAAAACUACAAAGCCAAAUAUAAAGAAAAAAAAGUAAAAAUUGCCCCCCCCCCGCUCACAAAUGAAAUAAAGUAGGUAGAAAUUCUAAAUUCUGCUGGGCCUUGAACGUAUGCACAAUACUUUAUGGUAUCUUUCACCACUUUUUUUAAGCACAAUCACAUCAUUCAUGUACAAGUGGACAGGUAAAUAAAAAAUUCAAGAGCAACAAAGAAAUUGCAGAGAAAUCUAUUAUAAUACGUGUACCCAAAGAAGCACAUAUAGUUAUAAAGAAGAUUGAAGGAUCUGAACAGGAUAAUGUAUGCAGUAAAGUGCAACAGGAUAAUGCAUUUAGUACAGGGCAUCAGGAUAAUGUAUUUACUGGGCAACCAUUAGAUGUGUGUGGUGAUGACAGUGAGCGGCAAGCAUUAAAAGUGGACAAUUCGAAACCGGUAAAUGUGCCUGAAGUCAAGUCUACACAAACGGGCG